This 164-nucleotide ribosomal RNA is filed under the name uncultured bacterium. RNAcentral describes it as "partial 16S ribosomal RNA". It matches the Rfam family "Bacterial small subunit ribosomal RNA", at positions 1337 to 1500 of the family's 1533-position model. The record is from RNAcentral.
AGUAAUGGCAGGUCAGCAUACUGCCGUGAAUACGUUCCCGGGCCUUGUACACACCGCCCGUCACACCAUGAGAGUUGGGAAUACCCGAAGCCUGUGAGCCAACAUCUAUGAGGCAGCAGUCGAAGGUAGAAUCAAUGAUUGGGGUGAAGUCGUAACAAGGUAUC